GUGACACUUUCACACCACAAGAAUUGUUGCCAAUAACGGAAAAAUUAUUAUCUAAAGUUAAAAAUCCGGGAGAAGGAAAAGGCUUUGUGAGCUCUUCCAAGAAUCCUGAACAACUCGCUGAUAAGCUGUUUGAAG
This is a long non-coding RNA of Pieris rapae (cabbage white), 135 nucleotides long. RefSeq lists it as uncharacterized. The record is from RefSeq and is a predicted model, not a curated record. The transcript is spliced from 3 exons. NCBI's taxonomy places the organism in Eukaryota, Metazoa, Arthropoda, Insecta, Lepidoptera, Pieridae.